CGGGCUCUGACAUCGGUCCGGCACGCGCGCCGGGCCCCGUGCACGCCAUCGUCGGGCGGGCUCAAGAUCUCACAUUCCUGGGUCAAAGGUAGGUGAGGUGGUCCCUCGCCCAUAGGCCAUGGACGAGAGAUGGUGACCAUGGGUGCUCUGCUAGGGUCUCUUCGUCACCUGAAACCUCCUCGGGUAAUAAUAUUUUCUUCAUAAGUUUAUUUCUCAUUGGGGUAAUGUUCUUACGUAAGUUAGAAACUUCAAUGACUGUACUUGUCAUUGAUUGUUGUAAGUUUUUUUUUUUUUUUUUGUAGAUAUCAUAUAUAUAUACUAUCAUUGCAACCUCGAUCUCUCAUGCUCAUUUGUAUAUUUCCAUUACUUUGUAACACCUACUUUGUGUGCGUUUGACCGAGCUGCAUCUGGGCCAUAAUCACCAGAACAAUCAAUGAGUAAAGGAGUGGGAACAUGCAUGAGAUUUCUAUUUCUACUACUGUAGAGUCCAUGGCUUUGUUAUGAUGAUAUUCUCGAAGGCUGCUGGUAUUAAGUUUUCAGCGGUGGGAGAAUCAUAAAGGAGGACGCAUAUAUGAUGGCAGUACACACCAAAGCAAAGCUAUCAAAAGCCGAGCCAAUCCACUGCUUGCUGCGUUCCUGAAUCGUUGGUUGCUACCUAUAACUCCUUUUACUGUAGCGUCAAUGUCUUGGCCUCAGCAAGUGCUCGACUUCUUGGAUGGUUGCCCCUUAAUUUCUUCGCACUUUUUGCACCAGAACAUGUCAGCAUAUGGUUUCACAUGCCUCUUCUACUCAAUGAAUUAGAUUCGAUUCCAUGCCCUUGAUCUUCUCAAGAUAGUUG
This 838-nucleotide long non-coding RNA is filed under the name Phoenix dactylifera (date palm). RNAcentral's name for it is "long non-coding RNA (PDAC_LNC001532)". Lineage: Eukaryota; Viridiplantae; Streptophyta; Magnoliopsida; Arecales; Arecaceae. The record is from RNAcentral.